This 253-nucleotide ribosomal RNA is filed under the name uncultured bacterium. Its description in RNAcentral is "partial 16S ribosomal RNA". It matches the Rfam family "Bacterial small subunit ribosomal RNA", at positions 524 to 776 of the family's 1533-position model. The record is from RNAcentral.
UACGGGGGGGGCAAGCGUUGUUCGGAAUUACUGGGCGUAAAGGGCUCGUAGGCGGCCAACUAAGUCAGACGUGAAAUCCCCAGGCUCAACCUGGGAACUGCGUCUGAUACUGGAUGGCUUGAAUCCGGGAGAGGGAUGCAGAAUUCCAGGUGUAGCGGUGAAAUGCGUAGAUAUCUGGAGGAAUACCGGUGGCGAAGGCGACAUCCUGGACCGGUACUGACACUCAAGUGCGAAAGCGUGGGGAGCAAACAGG